CUACGCGCAGGCGCAUUGUCAUUCAUGUUCAUUCUCAGCGCCUUGGGCGGAUUCGCUCAUGGGGCGGCCUAUCCGCUGCGCGACACAGCCAUCGAUGAAUCCAAGGCGAGGUCCGGCAAUGUUUCAGAGCCGUUCGGGCUUCCAACCUCGAUGCUGGCCGACGGCCCUCUUCGCGCCAAAUGGGAGGCCGUCGAGCGCGCCAUCACGGCUGAAUCCGGGAUCAUCGCCGCUUGCGCCAACGACCCCGGACAUUGCGCAUCCCAGCCU
RNAcentral lists this unclassified non-coding RNA (267 nucleotides) under Hevea brasiliensis (rubber tree). Lineage: Eukaryota; Viridiplantae; Streptophyta; Magnoliopsida; Malpighiales; Euphorbiaceae. The record is from RNAcentral.